Molecule: long non-coding RNA, 3386 nt
Filed under: Homo sapiens (human)
Lineage: Eukaryota; Metazoa; Chordata; Mammalia; Primates; Hominidae
Description: HSALNT0284477
Source: RNAcentral
CUGCCAAAAGCCAUUUAAGUAAGCCACUUCCACUGAAGUGGAUCCUCCAGCAACAUGUUACUUCAUCUCAAGCUUUAAGAUGACCUCAGCCACAGCUGACAUCUUAACUGCAACUUUAUGAGAGACCCUGAGCAAAAACCACCCAGCACUUCUCCUUGCUGCCGCCAUGUGAAGAAGGAUGUUUUUGUUUCCUCUUCUGCCAUGAUUGUAAGUUCCUGAGGCCUCCCCAGCCACGCUGAACUAUCUUCAAGUGAAGUUGGUUUUCCUUUAUUCAAUAUGAUACUAGCUGUGGGUCUGACCUAUACGGAUUUUAUUGUGCUGAGGUCUCACAUGAAAUAGAAGCACAUGUGGUACAUGAAAUUUCUCUUGGAUGAUAUAUUAAAAGACGUAUUAAAUUGAUAGCAUCUCUUGAAGUCAAAUAAUAAAGGAGGGGGCGUUGCCAGAGGAGGCAGAUAUUUGGUCAGUGGACUGAGAGAGGAAGAUCUACACUCAAUGUGGGUGAGCACCAUCCAGUUGGCUGCCAUUGCAGCUACAACAAAGCAGGUGGAAAAAUUCUCCAGGUUCUUCGGCCUUCGGACUCUUGGACUUGUACCAGUGGCUUGCUGGAGGCUGUUGGGCAUUCGGCCACAGACUGAAGGCUAAACUGUCAGCUUCCCUGGUUUUGAGGCUUUCGGACUCAUAUUGAGCCACUACCAGUUUCUCUCUUUCCCAGCUUGCAGACGACCUAUUGUAAAAUUUUCCCUUGUAAUCAUGUGAACUAAUUUUACCUAAUAAAUUCCCUUCUAUAUGUACGUAUAUCCUAUUAAUUCUGUCCUUCUGAAGAACCCUCACUAAUACACAUUCCAACUGAUACCUCAGAAAUUCAAAAGAUCACUAGUGGUUUCCACAAGCAAAUGUAUGCCAAUAAAUUGAAAAUUCUAGAAGUAAUAAACAAAUUUCUAGACACAUAUAAUCUACGGAGACUGAACAAUGAAGAAAUAAAAAACCUGAACAGACCAAUAACAAGUAAUAAGACCAAAGCAGGAAUAAAAAGGCUUGGAGCAAAGAAAUGCCCAGAACCCGAUGGCUUCUGUGCUGAAUUCUACCAAACAUUUAAAGAACUAAUACAAAUUGUACUCAAAUUCUUCCAAAUAUAGAGAAGGGAAGAAUACUUCAAAACUCAUUUUAUGAAGCCAGUAUUAUCCUGAGACCAAUACUAGACAAACACAUAUUUAAAAAAACUACAGUCUAAUAUUUUUGUUAAAUAUUGAUGCAAAAGAAACAUCAACAAAAUACUAGCAACCAAAUUUGACAACACAUUAAAAAGAUCUUUGAGUCAAUCAACAGAAAAAUAGAUUACAAAAAUAUGGUUCAUAUAUCCUGUCAUUUGCAACAACAUGGAUGGAACUGGGGAUUAUUAUUUUAAGUGAGAUAAUCCAGACACAGAAGGACAAACAUUGUAUGUUCUCAUUUAUUUGUGGGACCAAAAAAUCAAAGCAAUUUGACUCAUAGGCAUAGAGAAUAUAAGGAUGAUUACUAGGGGCUGGGAAGGGUAGUAGGGGCCUGGAGUAAGGUACAGAUGGUUAAUGGGUAUAAAGAAAUAGAAAGAAUGAAGAGUACCUAGUAUUUCAUAGCACAACAGGAUGCUUAUAGUAAAAAAUAACCUAAUUGUAAAUUUCAAAAUAACUAAAAGAGUGUAAUUAGAUUAUUUGUAACAAAACAGAUAAAUACUUGAGGGGAUAAAUACCCUAUUAUUUAUGAUGUUAUUGUUUUUCACUGUAUUCCUAUAUCAAAACAUGUUAUAUACCCCAAAAUAUAUACCUGUUAUAUACUCACAAAAAUUAAAUAUAAAAAAAUUUUAAAACAUCAUUUAUCAUACCAAGUGAAAUUUAUUCCAGGGAUUCAAGGAUGGUUCAACAUAUACAAAUCAAUCAAUAUGAUACAUCAUAGAAACAGAAUAAAGAGCAAAAUCUAUAUGAUCAUUUCAAUUGAUGUUGAAAAGGCAUUUCAUAAAAUUUAACAUCCCUUCAUGAUAAAUUCCCUCCAUAAACUGGGUAUAGCAAAAAACAUAACUCUUCAUAAUGUAAGUUAUAUAGGACAGACCCACAGCAAGCUUCAUAAUGGAUGAGAAUAAAACUGAUUCUUUAUUCUAAGAUCUGGAGCACAAAGAUGCAGACUUCCACCACUCUUAUUUGACAGAAUAUUGGAAGUCCUAGUGACAGCAAUCAAGCAAGAUAAAAAAAAUAAGAGUAUCCAAAAUGAAAAGAAGAGGUCAAAUUAUUCUUGUUUGCUGUUUUUGUAAUCUUGUAUUUGAAAAAAAAACUAAAGAUUCAGCAAAGAAACAAUAAGAACUUAUAAACAAAUUCAGCAAUAUACAAAAAUGUAUCAUUUCUAUAUGCCCACACUGAACAAUUUGAAAAAAAAAUCAAGAAAGUAAUCCCAUUUAAAAUAGAUACAAAUAAAAUGUAAUAUUUAGAAAUUAACCAAAAAAGUGAAAGGUCUUUUCAAUUAGAACUAUAAAGCUUUGAUUCAUAAAACCAAAGAGGACACAAAACAAUGGAAAGAUGUCUCAUGUUCAUGGAUUGAAACAAUCAAUAUUGUUAAUAUGUCCAUAGUUCACAGAGCAAUCUAUAUAUUUAAUACAAUCCUUAUCAAUAUACCAAUGACAUUAUUCAAAGAAAUAAAAAAAAAUCCUAAAAUUUAUAUGGAACCACCAAAGACCCAGAAGAGCCAAAGCUAUGUAAAGCAAAAAGAACAAAACUGGAGGAAUCACAUUACCUGGCUCAUAAAUUAUAAUACAGAGCUAAGUUAACCAAACUGAUGUGGUGCUGGCAUAAAAACUGAGAAAUAGAAAUGUAGAACAAAAUAAAGAACCCAGAAAUAAACGUAUAGAUCUACAGUGGACUCAUUUUCAAAAAAGUUUACAAGAAUAUGCAUUGGAGAAAGGACAGUCUCUUCAAUAAAUGGUGCUGAGAAAUCUGAAUAUGCAUAUGCAGAGGAAUGAAACUUGACACCUAUCUCUCAUCUUAUUAAAAAAUCAAACCAAAAUGAGUUAAAUGCUUAAAUCUAAGACCUCAAAUUAUGAAAAUGGUAAAAUAAAAUAUUGGGGUCCAACAUGGUGGCUCAUGCCUGUAAUCCCAGCACUUUGGGAGGCUGAGGCAGGAGGACUGCUUAAGCCCAAGAGUUUGCAACCAGCCUGAGUAACGUAGUAAGAUCUCAUCUCUACAAAAAUGUGAUAAUAAUAGUAAUAAAUUAGCUGCAUCUGGUGUCACAUGCCUCAGGAUAAGGCAGAAGAAUAGCUUGAGCCUGGGAGGUCGAGGCUGCAGUGGGCCAUGAUUGUGCCACUGCACUCCAACCAGGGUGACAGAAUGAGAUCCUGUCUCAUUAAAAAAAAAAAAAAGAAAAAG